This 1724-nucleotide long non-coding RNA is filed under the name Volvox carteri. Its description in RNAcentral is "long non-coding RNA (VCAR_LNC002173)". Lineage: Eukaryota; Viridiplantae; Chlorophyta; Chlorophyceae; Chlamydomonadales; Volvocaceae. The record is from RNAcentral.
GAACGUCUUAGUCUGUUAUCUAUUUGUCAAAAUGUUGGAUCUUACGUAGCCCGGACAGCAACGAAGAUUUGCAAUGCAAGGAUCAUCCUGUGGGAGAUGUUGCUCCAGCCAUCUGCCAGUACUUUCUGCUAAUUUAGGGAGGAACAUAGUUACGUGAAUAGACCAGUGUUAUAGCGGCGCCUGAAGGUUAUAGCUGGAAUGGACCACGAAGCCGUGUGAUCGACGUAGCCAAAUUACGGGCUUCAAGGCUCUGGAAAAGGGCUGAAUCUGCAUCUAAAGACGGAGGUGGACAAUAUUGUGGGAAAUCACGAGGGCCGAGUCCCCGACACAGCCUUGGAGCAGGCAAAUGCAACGAAAUGACCCUAUGAAGCCAGCAAGCAACUAAGGCAAGAAGCAUAAUAGAAUGUGGGGCGAGAUUGCCAGCACCUGCAGAAGGCGGCGUAGAAAACUAGAUCCGCUGCUGGAGCUGUUCUCGCCAUGUAGGGGGUGUCGCCGAUGAGGUGAGCGGUGUGUUUUGCGUUCUCGCUCCAGCUUAAGCGGGCUCCGCAACAAGGACUGCUGACAUGGCCUCUUCGUGUUCAGUAACGCGGAACGCAGCCCCGAUGGGCUGAACCCUGCAUGCCCCCGGCGUCUGGGACAGGAUGAAAGACCUGACCUGUUUGACAAGCCAGUUGGACUCAUGAAAAUCCAGCGCACGCAAGCACCAUCGAGAAACCUGUCGCGAUACGUCACGUCUAUCAAUUGUACAUCAAUUGUUUCCUUCCAUCCAUUCACCGAAAGUAAAUGCAGGGAUUUUGUAAAGAUAGACUCCAGGGCCGUGGCAGUGCUCUCUAACUGCACCCGUCAACACUGGAAACGCUAAGCAGCGUACCGUAACAAGGAUGACCCAUACCAAUAGAAUGCAAAUUUGGCAUGCCAGAUGUGGAAGUGGGCUUGAAAGGCUGCAUAUAGAUUAUACGUGUGCUGGAGGUGGCGGGUUGGGGAAUUGUGUGUGUGUAUGUGUGCAGCGGCAUGUCACGCUGGGGUCCCCAGUCCGCUCGCCUUGCGCUACGUAAGCUUGCUUAGCUUGCAUGUCACAUUUUGACGAUGCAGUACAACUGGGAUAGGACCGCGAGCGAGUCCUGUCAGCGGUCCGUCUUGCCUUCACAUGCGUUUGGAGCACGUGAUGCGUGAAGUGUUGAAUCCUACUUCAACAUUUGUCCAUGAUCAUACUGAGUUUCCCAGUUCUACAAUCCCUACAUAGAACUUUACCUCCCUCCCCUCCCCUCCAUCCCGCCUCAAGAUUUCUAGGCUGCUGGCAACUGCAGGUAUGGUGCUUAAGCUGCCUAAGCUUCCGUGCAUGUCCAUCACUGGCCGUAGCAGCACACCCUGGAUUGCGGCCGGCCAGGCGUUCACGUGCUGUCAACUGCGCUGGUAUGCCCCCCGAUACUAUCUUGUUGGCAUUUGUGGUUGUUGGCUACAUGUAAAUUGUAUGCACGUGGUCGAGAGGAUGCUUCAUCUGCCGUGUUGUUACGCGCCGCUCGCUCCAUUCGGGAGACGCGCUGCCUACCUUGAGGUUGUAUGGAUGGGCAACAGGCAGGGACGCGAAAAGAACGAUAGGUCGGCGGGAUGGGCUGCUAUGGAUCAGUAUGGAUCAGCUGCUAGGUAGCUGUCGACCCUGGAACCCCACGGCCCCCUCCUAGGCGCCUCGAAUACGGCUUAAGACACAAGAAAGCGCUUCCUCA